UACGUAGGGUGCAAGCGUUAUCCGGAAUUAUUGGGCGUAAAGAGCUCGUAGGCGGUUUGUCGCGUCUGCUGUGAAAACUGGAGGCUCAACCUCCAGCCUGCAGUGGGUACGGGCAGACUAGAGUGCGGUAGGGGAGAUUGGAAUUCCUGGUGUAGCGGUGGAAUGCGCAGAUAUCAGGAGGAACACCGAUGGCGAAGACAGAUCUCUGGGCCGUAACUGACGCUGAGGAGCGAAAGCAUGGGGAGCGAACAGG
Molecule: ribosomal RNA, 253 nt
Filed under: uncultured bacterium
Lineage: Bacteria
Description: partial 16S ribosomal RNA
Rfam family: Bacterial small subunit ribosomal RNA
Source: RNAcentral